AGUGAACGCUGGCGGUAUGCCUAACACAUGCAAGUCGAACGACAAGACAGUAAGAUCGCGCUUUUACGGGUAGCGAGUGGCGGACGGGUAAGGAGUGCAUCGCAAUCUACUUUUUCGUGGAUGAUUACGGAAUGCAACUUACGCUAAUACCGAAUACGUCCUACGGCAGGAAGCAGUGGUUCUUCACACCUUUCGCGAUUCAAUGAGCCGAUGUCGGAUUAGCUAGUUGGCGAGGUAAAGGCCCACCAAGGCAACGAUCCGUAGCUGGUCUGAGAGGAUGAUCAGCCACACUGGAACUGAGACACGGUCCAGACUCCUACGGGAGGCAGCAGUGGGGAAUAUUGGACAAUGGGCGCAAGCCUGAUCCAGCCAUACCGCGUGGGUGAAGAAGGUCUUCGGAUUGUAAAGCUCUUUUGUUGGGAAAGAAAAGCUGCAGGUUUAUCCCUGGCUGUUUUGACGGUACCUAAAGAAUAAGCCCCGGCUAACUUCGUG
This 492-nucleotide ribosomal RNA is filed under the name uncultured bacterium. RNAcentral's name for it is "partial 16S ribosomal RNA". It matches the Rfam family "Bacterial small subunit ribosomal RNA", at positions 29 to 507 of the family's 1533-position model. The record is from RNAcentral.